CCGCUGCGGGCGCCGUCUGUGACCUGACGCGUCUACAGGCUACGAAGGAGAGCAGCAGAGGAAACGCAGGGAGUGGGAGAGCCAGCGAAGACAUGGCGGCGUUGCCUUUUGGACAAGAGGUUGCCAAGAAGCAGAAGGAAGGAAAGAAGGGAGGAAGGAAGCAAGCAAGCAAAGUGAGCUAAAUUCUCCCCAAGAACCACUGAGAGCCAUCACUGACAGAAGCAUCUUACCAUUUCCUGCCCAGGCCAAAGCCCAGCUUGCCCUUCCCCCGCUUCACCUGCUCCUGGUGGAGGUAGGAGGCUCCCCAACACCUGGCUUCCCUCCUGGGAAUCCAAGCGAUGGUAAAGAGGGAUCUCUUCCCACGU
This is a long non-coding RNA of Ailuropoda melanoleuca (giant panda), 365 nucleotides long. RefSeq lists it as uncharacterized. The record is from RefSeq and is a predicted model, not a curated record. The transcript has 3 exons. NCBI's taxonomy places the organism in Eukaryota, Metazoa, Chordata, Mammalia, Carnivora, Ursidae.